AGACAUGUAGUCAUGCGUAUGUGACAUGCCGUACAGGUGUGGCUGCCACGUGACUCACAGGUUGCUGAAACGUGGCUCCCACAUACUCAGUCAUGGCUGGCACGUGGCUCAUGCAUGCCUCAGCCGUGUUUCAUCUGUGGCUCACCUGAGGUUCAUGUGUGGUUCAAGCAUUGAACGUGUGGUUCGCAUGGGCUUCAGAUGUGGGUCAAGGGUGCCUCACACAUGGAUCCGGCACAGUUCACUUGUGGCUCACACAUGGUUCAGAUGUAAUUCAGGCAUGGUAAACACAUGACUCGUGUGGGUCAUAAAUGCUACAGUAGACUUUCACACAUGAUUGAGGCAUGGCUCACACAUGGUUCCGGUGCAGCUCAGCCAAGGCUCACAUGUGAUGCAGGCAUGAAACAGAAUUGGUUCACAUGUGGCUGGUGCACGAUUCAGGCGUUUGUCAUGCAUGGCUCACACACGGCUGAGAUGUGGCUCAUGCAUGGCUGUGGUGCUGCUAAUGCGUGCUCUCACUUGUUUGUGGCGUGGUUGGCACAUGGUUCAGGCAUGGCAGGCAGGUGGCUCCAGCAUGGCUGCCACGUGCUUCAAGUGAGGCUGGCAUGUGUUUAAAUUGGGACUGGCACAUGGUUCCGUCGUGGCCGGCAUGUGUCUUCGGCAUGGCUGAGAUGAGACUCAGGCAUGGCUCACAUGCCUUUCAGGCUUGGCUGACACAUGACUCAGGUGAGGCAGCCACGUGAUACAGGCGUUCCUGUCACAUCACCCAUGUGUGGCUCGCACCUGGUUCAUGCACGGCCUUCACGUGGCUCAUGGCUGGCUGGUGCGUGGUUCACGCAGGGGUGCCAUGUGUUUCAGGUGUGGCUGACACAUGACGCAGGCAUGGCUGACACGUGACUCUACCAUUCAUCCCACAUUAUCCAUGCCUGGUAGACAUGUGUUUCAUGCAUGGGUUACAUGUCAUUCAUGUGUGGCACACACGUGUCUCACUCGCUGCUGACACAUGGCUCCCACCUACGCAGACUUAGCUGGCACAUGGCUGACACAUGGCCCAGACAUGUUUCUCGUGUGGCUCCCAUGUGGCUCACGUGUGGUUCAGGCAUUGAACAUGGGUGCUUCACUCAUUUUUCC
Molecule: long non-coding RNA, 1128 nt
Filed under: Equus caballus (horse)
Lineage: Eukaryota; Metazoa; Chordata; Mammalia; Perissodactyla; Equidae
Description: lncRNA (ENSECAG00000046827.1)
Source: RNAcentral